Molecule: ribosomal RNA, 253 nt
Filed under: uncultured bacterium
Lineage: Bacteria
Description: partial 16S ribosomal RNA
Rfam family: Bacterial small subunit ribosomal RNA
Source: RNAcentral
UACGUAGGCAGCGAGCGUUGUCCGGAGUUACUGGGCGUAAAGGGCAUGCAGGCGGUCGGACGCGUUUCGGGUGACAGCGGGUGGCUUAACUACCCGAGUGGUCGAAAGACGGUUUGACUUGAGGACGCGAGAGGGACACGGAAUUCCGGGUGGAGUGGUGGAAUGCGUAGAGAUCCGGAGGAACACCGAAGGCGAAGGCAGUGUCCUGGCCUAUAACUGACGCUGAGGUGCGAAAGCGUGGGGAGCAAACGGG